RNAcentral lists this ribosomal RNA (495 nucleotides) under uncultured bacterium. RNAcentral's name for it is "partial 16S ribosomal RNA". It matches the Rfam family "Bacterial small subunit ribosomal RNA", at positions 28 to 507 of the family's 1533-position model. The record is from RNAcentral.
GAUGAACGCUGGCGGCGUGCCUAAUACAUGCCAGUCGAACGCUGAAGGAGGAGCUUGCUCUUCUGGAUGAGUUGCGAACGGGUGAGUAACGCGUAGGUAACCUGCCUGGUAGCGGGGGAUAACUAUUGGAAACGAUAGCUAAUACCGCAUGACAACAGUUAUUGCAUGAUAACUGUUUAAAAGGGGCAACUGCUCCACUACCAGAUGGACCUGCGUUGUAUUAGCUAGUUGGUGAGGUAACGGCUCACCAAGGCGACGAUACAUAGCCGACCUGAGAGGGUGAUCGGCCACACUGGGACUGAGACACGGCCCAGACUCCUACGGGAGGCAGCAGUAGGGAAUCUUCGGCAAUGGACGGAAGUCUGACCGAGCAACGCCGCGUGAGUGAAGAAGGGUUUCGGAUCGUAAAGCUCUGUUGUAAGAGAAGAACGAGUGUGAGAGUGGAAAGUUCACACUGUGACGGUAGCUUACCAGAAAGGGACGGCUAACUACGUG